AUUGGACGCUGGCGGCAUGCCUUACACAUGCAAGUCGAACGGCAGCACGGGAGCUUGCUCCUGGUGGCGAGUGGCGAACGGGUGAGUAAUACAUCGGAACGUACCCUGAAGUGGGGGAUAACGUAGCGAAAGUUACGCUAAUACCGCAUAUUCUGUGAGCAGGAAAGAGGGGGAUCGCAAGACCUCUUGCUUUAGGAGCGGCCGAUGUCGGAUUAGCUAGUUGGUGAGGUAAAGGCUCACCAAGGCGACGAUCCGUAGCGGGUCUGAGAGGAUGGAUCCGCCACACUGGGACUGAGACACGGCCCAGACUCCUACGGGAGGCAGCAGUGGGGAAUUUUGGACAAUGGGCGCAAGCCUGAUCCAGCCAUGCCGCGUGAGUGAAGAAGGCCUUCGGGUUGUUAAGAC
RNAcentral lists this ribosomal RNA (405 nucleotides) under uncultured bacterium. Its description in RNAcentral is "bacterial SSU rRNA". It matches the Rfam family "Bacterial small subunit ribosomal RNA", at positions 30 to 431 of the family's 1533-position model. The record is from RNAcentral.